UACAUGUGGGGCAAGCGUUGUUCGGAAUUACUGGGCAUAAAGGGUGCGUAGGCGGUUUGUUAAGUCAGGGGUGAAAGUUUUCGGCCCAACCGGAAAAUGGCCUUUGAUACUGGCGAACUCGAGUGCGUGAGGGGUAACCGGAACGAGUGGUGUAGCGGUGAAAUGCGUAGAUAUCACUCGGAAGGCCAAAGGCGAAGGCAGGUUACUGGUACGCAACUGACGCUGAGGCACGAAAGCGUGGGGAGCAAACAGG
RNAcentral lists this ribosomal RNA (253 nucleotides) under uncultured bacterium. RNAcentral describes it as "partial 16S ribosomal RNA". It matches the Rfam family "Bacterial small subunit ribosomal RNA", at positions 524 to 776 of the family's 1533-position model. The record is from RNAcentral.